This 253-nucleotide ribosomal RNA is filed under the name uncultured bacterium. Its description in RNAcentral is "partial 16S ribosomal RNA". It matches the Rfam family "Bacterial small subunit ribosomal RNA", at positions 524 to 776 of the family's 1533-position model. The record is from RNAcentral.
UACGGAGGGUGCGAGCGUUGUCCGGAAUCACUGGGCGUAAAGGGCGCGUAGGCGGCCUGAUAAGUAGGGGGUGAAAUCCUGCGGCUUAACCGCAGGGCUGCCUUCUAAACUGUCAGGCUAGAGCACAGUAGAGGCAGGUGGAAUUCCCGGUGUAGCGGUGGAAUGCGUAGAGAUCGGGAGGAACACCGGUGGCGAAGGCGGGACUCUGGGCCGAUACUGACGCUGAGGAGCGAAAGCGUGGGGAGCAAACAGG